This is a non-coding RNA of Poecilia reticulata (guppy), 608 nucleotides long. The record is from RefSeq and is a predicted model, not a curated record. NCBI's taxonomy places the organism in Eukaryota, Metazoa, Chordata, Actinopteri, Cyprinodontiformes, Poeciliidae.
UAGUCCAUGCUGGCCACGCCUCCAAAUACUGAAUUACCAUCAGCAGCCAUCUUGUUCGCCUCGGUUCUUCCUUCUUUGCAGUGGAGGAUGGUUGUUUACAGCGCAGGUAAUUUCAGGAUUCUGGAGUCGCUGGUGUCCACAGCGGGGCGAAGUAAAAAGGGGAAAAAACACAAAAACAUCAUUGACCUUAAAACUUUUUGCACGGCGCAGUAGGAGCUGAGGUGACGGCUUUGACUUGACUCACGGGAUCGGACGUGGAAAGCAACAGCAAACGUCUCAGCUCAGCGAGACUUUUAUUUAUUCGAUCCCUUCUCUUCUUCUCCACAACUGGCUUCAAAAUCUAAAAACAGGAGGUCAGAAAGGUCAGAUGGUCCUUUGAACAAACCUGCAAGGGGACUUCGAGUUGGCAACCCAAGAGCUGGCUUAAAAAUGACAGAGCAUCACAAAGAUCAAACAAUGCUCAUAAAAUGAGUCAAGCACAAAGGAAGGUCAUUGGAAACAGAAAUGCACAUCGGUACCAGCCAAAAGAAGUAACUUUCCUACCCUUUUUCUACUCUUCCCGUCUUCAGGAGUUCGUAGCUUCCUGGUCAUGUUGUCCAGAGACUCUC